AACGUAGGACGCGAGCGUUAUCCGGAGUUACUGGGCGUAAAGGGUGGGCAGGCGGCCGUGUCAGAUGGGUGUGAAAUCUCCCGGCUCAGCCGGGAGGGGCCACUCGUGACUGCACGGCUGGAGGGCAGCAGAGGCGCGUGGAAUUCCGGGUGGAGUGGUGAAAUGCGUAGAGAUCCGGAGGAACACCAGAGGCGAAGGCGGCGCGCUGGGCUGCACCUGACGCUGAACCACGAAAGCCAGGGUAGCGAACGGG
This 253-nucleotide ribosomal RNA is filed under the name uncultured bacterium. Its description in RNAcentral is "partial 16S ribosomal RNA". It matches the Rfam family "Bacterial small subunit ribosomal RNA", at positions 524 to 776 of the family's 1533-position model. The record is from RNAcentral.